This is a long non-coding RNA of Gymnogyps californianus (California condor), 516 nucleotides long. RefSeq lists it as uncharacterized. The transcript is spliced from 4 exons. The record is from RefSeq and is a predicted model, not a curated record. NCBI's taxonomy places the organism in Eukaryota, Metazoa, Chordata, Aves, Accipitriformes, Cathartidae.
GCACGUGUAGGAAAUAACUCCCUGCGAGGCGUUCGGGUCGCCCUAGAGAGCUGAGAGUGGUGGGAGUCAUUGGGCUAGUGACAAAAGGCUAAACAAAGUCAGCUGCUUAUAUUUACCAAAGAGGGAAAAUAGGAAGAAAAGGGAGGCAAGGUGAGAGCAGAGGAUGCAUCUUGGUCAAGCCCAGAAAUAGAGCCAGUUCCUCAAGUCUUUGAGUCUGUAGCCUGGGAGACUGAGUUGGUGAUCUAACUCUGACAACGUGCAUAUGAAAGCCCAGUCCAUGCUGCAAGACUGUGAACAAUCAGAGGCCCAGUGGUUGCUCCUAAUAAUAUUGGUUUAUUUCAGUGGUCAUUCAAAGACAUGAGAGCUACUUUAGAACAAAAGUCUCCAGAAGUUUCCCUUGCAGCAAAGACCAAGCCUACAGCCUGGAAAGUUAAAAUUAAAGAAGGUAAAAUCAAUGUUUAUUUCAGAGUUCUUGUAGCAUCUUAUGUGUAGUUUUCGCUUAUGUGUAGCUUCCAC